Molecule: ribosomal RNA, 253 nt
Filed under: uncultured bacterium
Lineage: Bacteria
Description: partial 16S ribosomal RNA
Rfam family: Bacterial small subunit ribosomal RNA
Source: RNAcentral
UACGGGGGGGGUAAGCGUUGUUCGGAAUUACUGGGCGUAAAGGGCUCGUAGGCGGCCAACUAAGUCAUACGUGAAAUCCCUCAGCUUAACUGGGGAACUGCGUGUGAUACUGGAUGGCUUGGAUUUGGGAGAGGGAUGCGGAAUUCCAGGUGUAGCGGUGAAAUGCGUAGAUAUCCGGAGGAACACCGGUGGCGAAGGCGGCUUCCUGGCCCGACCCUGACGCUGAGGCGCGAAAGCUAGGGGAGCAAACGGG